GCUUGACUGUAGCUUGUAAUUGGGUUCGGGCUUUUUUGCGCAGCCUAGGUGGGAGGCAACGAUGAUUUUUUUCCGGGAAAAUUUAAGCCGUUAGUGAGAGACCACUCUGAAAAGGCUAGAAUCCUAAUAAUGAUCCUUGAAUCAGGACAUUUGACAGUUGCAGGUGGGCAGUUUUACUGGGGCGGUAUUCUCCUAAAAAGUAACGGAGGGGUGCAAAGGUUCCCUCAAGCUGGACGGAAAUCAGCUUAAGAGUGUAAAGGCAAAAGGGAGCUUGACUGCAAGACCUACAAGUCGAGCAGGGGCGAAAGCCGGCCUUAGUGAUCCGACGGUACCACGUGGAAGGGCCGUCGCUCAACGGAUAAAAGUUA
RNAcentral lists this ribosomal RNA (368 nucleotides) under uncultured alga. RNAcentral's name for it is "bacterial LSU rRNA". It matches the Rfam family "Bacterial large subunit ribosomal RNA", at positions 2098 to 2465 of the family's 2925-position model. The record is from RNAcentral.